Long non-coding RNA from Nomascus leucogenys (northern white-cheeked gibbon), 862 nucleotides. RefSeq lists it as uncharacterized. Lineage: Eukaryota; Metazoa; Chordata; Mammalia; Primates; Hylobatidae. The transcript has 5 exons. The record is from RefSeq and is a predicted model, not a curated record.
GUGGUGCAAGAGUUCUGAGGGACCACAAUCCUGAACACAUUGAAUGGCUGUGUUCCUGCUCAUUGCUGGAGGUGCUGUCAGGGGCCCAGCCCUCAACCCCAGGUCUGACCCUUGCAGCUCAGGCAGGACAUUCUGGAGGAAUCACGUCCUUCAAAGGAGCCCUGAGGAGUGACUGUCGUUAGAUGAAAAAACUGGGGCAAAGAGCAAUACGGAGAGUUGCCCAAAUUCACACCACUGGUCCAGGUUUGAAGCAAGCAGUCUGUACCUGGAGUCCUUGUCUGUAACCAUGGCACCCUGCCUUCUCACCCAACUCAUCGUGGAGUUCCACCUUGUGUCAGGCACUGCACUGAGCAGCUUCUUUUAAGAACAUAAUUUGUAAUUAUGUAGAUUACUAAUUCUACUUCAAAAUGCCACACAGCCUUCAUGUGAUUAAAUGAAACAAUUGCUCAUCUGAUCUCCUAGGAUCUCUGCUAAGAUGCUGGCAGCCCAGCCAGCUGGUCUGGCCCUGGAUGUGCCUUAGCGGCUGGUUAUGCUUCAUGACCUGCAUUGUGGUCAGUGCCAUUUUGCAGACCCUGGUCAGAGUGAAACAUUCCAUGGGAACUUGGGCCAUGAGAAACAGCCUUCCUGACCAUGUGACUGCAGAAACAUCCUUAUCGCAUCCUUCCAGGCAAAGGCCCAACAGCCUGACUGCAGGAACAUCCUUGCCAUAUCCUGCUGGGCAGCAAGCUCUACCACCCUGAACCCUCCCUCCCAGUCCCAUGAUUACCCCAGCCUGUGAGUGGCAGUUGGCCCUGGGACUAAGCUGGUUUACCCCUCCGCAGGGCUUUGCUAGCAAUAAAGGUGUUGCUGUUGAAGCCGCCAA